UUUCUCGCCCAAUGGCGAUCGCACCAACAACACGUCUAAGAUCCUCCUAUUUCACCCCAGGUUUCAGAUGUCAGACAAAACCAAUCCUGUCACAGAACUGAAUAUAUAAAUAUACAUAUAAAGCAUGCUUCACGAGUAUUGAGAUUUGAAUUCCAUAAGAGAAUAAUUAUAAAACGUGAGAUUAAAGAUGAUGAAAUAUUACCUUUUAAUCGCUUUGCAAGCUGCUUUUCUCCAACUGUUCGUUUCGGCAAGAUUUGACCGAUUUGGUGAACGUCAGACAUUCCCGUACACUAGUCUACCUGUUCAUGUUGAUCAGGGUUCUGCUGAUUUCAUUGAUCGACAUAAUAAUGACCUGCUAUUUCCCAUGGUGCAUCAUGGUCUACACGACCAGCCUGAUCAACACGGCGUGAAGAGGGACAUGGGAGCCAUGUGGAAUAAAUCAACAGCGGCUAGCCAGGCUUCCACUCCACAUCAACAUGACCAAUGCAAACACACCAGAGGGACCAGUUACCAGAGAUUCAUCAAAGACAGAUUUUCCGCAUUUAGUAGAUCCAACAUCCGAAGACUGUUAUAUCGAUUUGGAAAAUAAUUUGAUAAAGAGAAAAUUUGAAA
Long non-coding RNA from Saccostrea cuccullata (small rock oyster), 612 nucleotides. RefSeq lists it as uncharacterized. Lineage: Eukaryota; Metazoa; Mollusca; Bivalvia; Ostreida; Ostreidae. The record is from RefSeq and is a predicted model, not a curated record. The transcript has 2 exons.